GUGGCAGAUGAAAAGCCCAAGGAAGGAAUCGAGACUGAGAACAAAGAUCAUAUUAAUUUGAAGGUGGCAGGGCAGGAGGGUUCUGUGGUGCAGUUUAGGAUUAAGAGGCAUACACCACUUAGUAAACUAAUGAAAGCCUGUUGUGAACGAUAGGGAUGGUCAAUGAGACAGAUCAGAUUCCAAUUUGACAGGCAACCAAUCAAUGAAAGAGACACACCUGCUCAGUUGGAAAUGGAGGAUGAAGAUACAACCGAUAUGUUCCAACAGCAGUCAGGGGGUGUCUACUAA
RNAcentral lists this long non-coding RNA (288 nucleotides) under Homo sapiens (human). RNAcentral's name for it is "long non-coding RNA NONHSAT088912". The record is from RNAcentral. Lineage: Eukaryota; Metazoa; Chordata; Mammalia; Primates; Hominidae.